Molecule: unclassified non-coding RNA, 75 nt
Filed under: Pseudomonas lini
Lineage: Bacteria; Pseudomonadati; Pseudomonadota; Gammaproteobacteria; Pseudomonadales; Pseudomonadaceae
Source: RNAcentral
AAAGAUCGCAGCCUUCGGCAGCUCCUACAGGGGAUAUGCGUUUCCCUGUAGGAGCUGCCGAAGGCUGCGAUCUUU